Molecule: long non-coding RNA, 1401 nt
Organism: Oreochromis aureus
Lineage: Eukaryota; Metazoa; Chordata; Actinopteri; Cichliformes; Cichlidae
Exons: 3
Source: RefSeq, a predicted model, not a curated record
UUUAUACAUUUUAUUUUGUGAUGUGAUGUGAGCGCAGGUGCAACCCAACAGGCCCCAAAUGUUCCUGGCAGCAAGUAAAAAUUAAAUAUAAAAAUAUAGUCCAAACAGGUAAGGUGUAAUUGUAUUAUGAGCCAUAGUGCUUGGUCUGUUUGUCCUAUGUAAAUCAAUUGCAGUUAGAGGCUACAUUAAUUUCCUUUCUGUAAGCACUUAUUGAACUUAUCUGAGCACAGUACAAGUACAUAUUUGCUUACUCUGUAUGCUCAAAUGUGACCCGUUAUAGCCAACAGAAAAAAAGCAGAGGCCUGAAAAACAGGUGGGGGUCCUCCACCACCACCACUCACAGAGGCUGAGCAGUUGGCCCUCAGCCAAAACAGUGGGCGCCCUGUGGCUGAAGGCAUCUCUGCGGGGACAUCCUCUGAGUCAAUAACCCCGCAAGACACAAGUGCCUACAUAAGAGUUGAUGGUGAUGGUGUACUGCAUCUGGUGCAGCCUCCUGUUGAGCCAGACCAACAUGCAGUUGUGAGUACUCUUAAUACUCCACAGAUUAUAUGAGUUUACAGUAGAACAGCAAUGUUGUUAAUUUCAUUACUACAGGAAAUUGAAGAAAUAUUGACAGCUGUUACAGAGGAGGAAGCAACAGAGACACUUUAUGAGGUUUACAUCUUACAAUGGAAAAUAUAACAAUUGAAUAAAAUGUGGUACUAUAAUAAAACCAUGGACUUUCUAUGUCUCUAACAGAGUGAUGAUGGAAAUGAAGAGGAAGAGGGUCCAGCCACUUCUCCAACAAACCUUUCCUCAGUAAGAUGUUCAGCACUGAUUUACAACCAACCUAAGUAGGCAUGUACUAUGAAUGUCAAUGCUAUUUCCUGUGUUUCCAUAGCUCCCUGUAAAGCAGCUGUAUAAGAAAUAUUUGAUCAAGAAAAUAAAGAAAUGCGACUUGGAAAUGGAACACUUCAAGCAGCAGAUCCAAAAGACCAAGAUUGAGAUUUUACUGCUGGAACAUCAGUUAAGGGAAAUACAGGCGACCAAUAAAGCCAGUUGAACAGAAAAUCUGUUUAUUCUUCUUUCAACAUGUUGAGGUGAUGGGUCAAAGGAAAUGAUUGUGACAUAUGGUGUCUCUGACUGCUCUUCCAUCUUGUAUGUCCGUGGGAGGGUCAGGAUGUUCAUGGUUUGGAUCACUGCUGAUGUUUGGUUCAGAAGGACAGUGUUCUCCUCUAAUUGUGGCAAUGUUGUGAAGAAUCACACAUGCCACAAUAAUGUCACAUGCCCUUUCUGGGGUGACCCUGAGUCUUUGAAGGCACUGGAACCGGGGCUUAAGCAUUCCGAUAGUCAUUUCAACUCUGGCUUUUGUCCUGCAAUGAGCCAGAUUAUAUCGCUGCUGUGGGCCCAGUUCAGGGUCAG